Long non-coding RNA from Lontra canadensis (Northern American river otter), 1337 nucleotides. RefSeq lists it as uncharacterized. The record is from RefSeq and is a predicted model, not a curated record. The transcript is spliced from 3 exons. Lineage: Eukaryota; Metazoa; Chordata; Mammalia; Carnivora; Mustelidae.
UAGUGGUUACUUGUUUGACGUUGGGGGUGGGGGUGAGGAGGCUGUGCUACUUUUUUUCGUGUUUUGUUUUGUUAAUUUUUUUUUUUAUGAGAGUUGGCCCAAGUGAGUUUUUUGGUUUUGGUUUUUAAACGAUGGGGCUGUGUGCCCUGAAAACCUUUUGUGAACAGCCUCUUGAAGAUUAUGCAAGAUUGCAUAAAUUAUGGAAUCUGGGGCAAUAAAUGUUCAGAAACGGGAUUAAAACCACACUGAUAGAGUCGGGCGCUUGGAAGUUAAUGUGCAAUAUUUGAGUUACGACCAGCUACAAUUGCUUAUCAAUACAUUCUGGUGCUCAGACAUCUUGUCUUAAGGUUUUUCCCAGUUGUCUUGAAAGCUCAGUUUUCUUGGAAAGCUCGUUGCCCAACCUUUCUGUAAUUGAUCUCAUGAAAGAGGCAGAUGGGACAGUUUGCAUAUGGCCAGAUGAAAUCGUUUAAAAAUCAUUUGGAUGCUUAAAUGACAUUCAAAGGCAUUGCAAUCUCUUUCAUAAGAGGGAGGUGUUCCAACGUGGCCUAAAAAUUAUUUUAGGGAAAAGAGUUCCUCCCUACAAGAUGGGGAUAGAAUUUGAGUAUUUUAAGAUAUUUUCAUUGCUUAUUGCUGCUGUUCCAUCUUUUGAUGGAUAAAUUUUUCUUAAAUGUUGAGUUUUUGAAACUCAAGUGUUUUACGUUCUGGAAUUUAAGAUUUAUAUGUUAUUUCCCACAGAAAGGAUUAAUUUAUGUGUCUUUAAACAUUUGCUUCAUGUAUUUAAUGUGCACUUAAAACACUGCUUACCAUUUUUAGCAUACUGUUUUAGAAGCAUGGAGUUUUAGAAUGGGAAGACACUUUAGAGCUUACUGUCUCUGUUAUUUACCGGUAAAGAGAGCAAGAGUAAAGUAUGUCGUCUCAAGUUCACAACAGGCUAGGACUUAGGGCUGAGAUUUUUUACUUUCUGAUAGUAGCCCAGAAUCACCUGGUAAUGUGUGUUUCCUAUUUUCCCAGUAGGUUAUUCUAACUGAUGUACAGAGGUGACCUGCCUAUCUAGCUUUCUUUAGUGUACUGUUUCUUGAUUGUACUCACCAUUUUCCUGCAGUACUCUCAAGUUGGCUGUUUGUUCAUUAUACAACAGUGGUUUAAACAAAACAAGAAGCCUUACUGAUUCCUUCAAGUGAUUUUUGGGCGCUAGCUGUGAUGUACUUGCUCCCCCAGUAUGGUGAGAAGGCUUUUAAGGCUAUGGCAUGUGAGACUUCACUGCUUCAUGAUACUGUUUUGAAUACAUAAGUAACUGGUGUGUAAGUAUCCACUUGUGGAAAAUGACCAACUUUUUU